This 274-nucleotide ribosomal RNA is filed under the name uncultured bacterium. RNAcentral describes it as "partial 16S ribosomal RNA". It matches the Rfam family "Bacterial small subunit ribosomal RNA", at positions 523 to 796 of the family's 1533-position model. The record is from RNAcentral.
AUACGGGGGAUGCAAGCGUUAUUCGGAAUCAUUGGGCGUAAAGGGCACGCAGGCGGUUCUGUCAGUCAGAUGUGAAAGCCCGGGGCUUAACCCCGGACGUGCAUUUGAAACAGCAGGACUUGAGUAUGGUAGAGGAAAGCGGAAUUCCUGGUGUAGAGGUGAAAUUCGUAGAUAUCAGGAGGAACACCGGUGGCGAAGGCGGCUUUCUGGACCAAAACUGACGCUGAGGUGCGAAGGCGUGGAUAGCGAACAGGAUUAGAUACCCCAGUAGUCC